RNAcentral lists this ribosomal RNA (253 nucleotides) under uncultured bacterium. RNAcentral describes it as "partial 16S ribosomal RNA". It matches the Rfam family "Bacterial small subunit ribosomal RNA", at positions 524 to 776 of the family's 1533-position model. The record is from RNAcentral.
UACAGAGGUAUCAAGCGUUGUUCGGAUUCAUUGGGCGUAAAGGGGGCGUAGGCGGCGCGGUAAGUCGGGUGUGAAAUCUCGGAGCUUAACUCCGAAACUGCAUUCGAUACUGCCGUGCUUGAGGACUGGAGAGGAGACUGGAAUUUACGGUGUAGCGGUGAAAUGCGUAGAUAUCGUAAGGAAGACCAGUGGCGAAGGCGGGUCUCUGGACAGUUCCUGACGCUGAGGCACGAAGGUCAGGGGAGCAAACGGG